UACGUAGGUGGCAAGCGUUGUUCGGAAUUACUGGGUGUAAAGGGUUCGUAGGCGGUGCGGCAAGUUGGGGGUGAAAUCUCUGGGCUUAACCCAGAGGCUGCUUCCAAAACUGCUGUGCUUGAGUGUGGGAGAGGCGCGUGGAAUUGCAGGUGUAGCGGUGAAAUGCGUAGAUAUCUGCAGGAACACCCGUGGCGAAAGCGGCGCGCUGGACCACUACUGACGCUGAGGAACGAAAGCUAGGGGAGCAAACAGG
This 253-nucleotide ribosomal RNA is filed under the name uncultured bacterium. RNAcentral's name for it is "partial 16S ribosomal RNA". It matches the Rfam family "Bacterial small subunit ribosomal RNA", at positions 524 to 776 of the family's 1533-position model. The record is from RNAcentral.